AACCUUGUGGUACUACUCAUGCAGGAUACAAACAAACAGAUCAUAUAUGUCCUUGAAAGCUCAUCUUCUCUUUAAAAUGCCAUUAUAAAGCAGCAGCAAUAUGAGUGUCAAGAAGAAGAAAAGGCAAAAAUUUUCCCAAUCCCAAAAACAUAAAAGCAAAAAGGGAAGAAGAAAUUAAACAGCAUGGGAUCCAAAGAGCAAAAAAAAGCAUUGCUCAAUCAACAGUUGGAGCAACUCGGUUCAAUUACUAAUUCUCCUUCAGUGAAUAAGACAUCAAUCAUUGCCCAUGCAUCAAAGUAUAUAGAGGAAUUAAAAGAAAGGAUUGACAAGUUAAAUGAAGAUGUUUCAACGUCACAACCUUCUCAUGAUCAUGAUAAUGAAGAUUCUUUACCAGUGGUUACAGUAGAAACCCUAGAGAAGGGAUUCAUAACAAAUGUGUUCACAGAAAAGAAUAGCCCUGGUUUGCUAGUCUCCAUAUUGGAAGCCUUUGAACAGCUUGGCCUUGAAUUAUCAGAUGCUAGGAUUUCUUGUUCAGAUAGUUUUCGCCUUGAAGCUGUUAGUGAUAAUGAAGGACAAAUUGAAUGCGUAGAUGCCCAAAUGGUAAAACAAGCAGUCUUGGAAGCUAUAAGGACCUGGAACCAAAGCAACGAACAAGAUUAGUCUAAUCAGCUUUUGUUACCCCCCUCCCCCCCUCCCCCCCCAGAAAAAAAAAAACCCCAAGCCAAACCCAUAAAAACAAAAGAAAAAAAAAGAACAAAAAAAAAAAAAAAAAAAAAGAGAGAAACAAACGAGGCAAAUAAGCAAAAAGGAAAAGUCUUUUUUGUAGCUCCUGCAUUCUAUGGAUUAAUAUUAAUCAACAACGGCAUCAUUUGAAAACUUGCUUGAGCACACCCAUAAUCACUUAUAUAUUUGUAUACGGUAUAAACCGGGGUAAAAUGUUUGGGUUCGUCGACGGAAGAUCGGAGCAAGAUAUGAGAGUUGGCUUUGAGAUGUAACAUCGGUUCGGGUUCAACCAGCCGGAUAGAAUAAAGCUGAGGGAUCAUAAACCGGAGGGACGCUAGUUGACACGAACGCGAGAAAUUCGACCUGCAACUGAUUUCUCGCCGGCCGUUGCGCCAACCGUCACGUUAUCAACCGUUGAGGCACCCGAGAUCGUCGAGAUCACUAUCUCCUUAACAGAUUUAGUUACCAUUUAGAGCUCUAACUCUUGUACUAUAUACAUAUAGGUGAAUCCUCUCAUGAGGGCAUCUGAUUCUCGUUACUCUUACAUUCUUACUCUGUAACCACUCAAGUUCUUAAGUUAUUGAUAAGAUUUGGCUCGGGCAUCAAGCCCAUUGCUCUGAACUGGACCAAUUCACGGUGUCCAUCAAUUGACGAUUAAGGCUA
Lycium ferocissimum is the source of this 1386-nucleotide RNA transcript. It is a transcript of the gene named transcription factor bHLH61-like, with no coding region annotated. The transcript is spliced from 5 exons. The record is from RefSeq and is a predicted model, not a curated record. Lineage: Eukaryota; Viridiplantae; Streptophyta; Magnoliopsida; Solanales; Solanaceae.